GAAGAUAAGGCUUUUAACACUCUGACUUGAAACCAGAACGAAGGACGUUCGACUCGUCCAUCUUCU
RNAcentral lists this transfer RNA (66 nucleotides) under Pronodularia japanensis. RNAcentral's name for it is "tRNA-Ser". The record is from RNAcentral. Lineage: Eukaryota; Metazoa; Mollusca; Bivalvia; Unionida; Unionidae.